RNAcentral lists this transfer RNA (72 nucleotides) under Dryobates pubescens (Downy woodpecker). Its description in RNAcentral is "Picoides pubescens (downy woodpecker) tRNA". It matches the Rfam family "tRNA". Rfam says of the family: Transfer RNA (tRNA) molecules are approximately 80 nucleotides in length. The record is from Rfam by way of RNAcentral. Lineage: Eukaryota; Metazoa; Chordata; Aves; Piciformes; Picidae.
CCAUUAGUGGUAUAAUGGUGAGCAUAGCUGCCUUCCAAGCAGUUGAUCUGGGUUCAUUCCCUGGCCAAUGCA